AGGCAAGAUGUCGGCAUAGCUGAGAUAUUUUCACUUUUUGGUAUAGAAAAGUAAGCUGUGUUUACAUCGUGCCAUC
This 76-nucleotide microRNA precursor is filed under the name Triops cancriformis. RNAcentral's name for it is "microRNA tcf-mir-31 precursor". Its record names the gene tcf-mir-31. Lineage: Eukaryota; Metazoa; Arthropoda; Branchiopoda; Notostraca; Triopsidae. The record is from miRBase by way of RNAcentral.